GCGGGUGUAACUCAGUGGUAGAGUAUCAGCUUCCCAAGCUGAGGGUCGCGGGUUCAACUCCCGUCGCCCGCUCCA
This 75-nucleotide transfer RNA is filed under the name Nitrospirota bacterium. Its description in RNAcentral is "tRNA-Gly". It matches the Rfam family "tRNA". From Rfam's summary of the family: Transfer RNA (tRNA) molecules are approximately 80 nucleotides in length. Their secondary structure includes four short double-helical elements and three loops (D, anti-codon, and T loops). Lineage: Bacteria; Pseudomonadati; Nitrospirota. The record is from RNAcentral.